This 329-nucleotide unclassified non-coding RNA is filed under the name soil metagenome. Its description in RNAcentral is "partial contains 5.8S ribosomal RNA, internal transcribed spacer 2, and large subunit ribosomal RNA". The stretch from base 1 to 120 matches the Rfam family "5.8S ribosomal RNA", at positions 35 to 154 of the family's 154-position model. The record is from RNAcentral.
GAUGAAGAACGCAGCGAAAUGCGAUAAGUAGUGUGAAUUGCAGAAUUCAGUGAAUCAUCGAAUCUUUGAACGCACAUUGCGCCCCUUGGUAUCCCGAGGGGCAUGCCUGUUCGAGCGUCAUUUCACCACUCAAGCCUGGCUUGGUGUUGGGCGACGUCCCCUUUGGGGACGCGCCUCGAAACGCUCGGCGGCGUGGCACCGGCUUUAAGCGUAGCAGAAUCUUUCGCUUUGGAAGUCGGGGCCCCGUCUGCCGGAAGACCGACUCGCAAGGUUGACCUCGGAUCAGGCAGGGAUACCCGCUGAACUUAAGCAUAUCAAUAAGCGGAGGA